This 237-nucleotide ribosomal RNA is filed under the name uncultured bacterium. Its description in RNAcentral is "partial 16S ribosomal RNA". It matches the Rfam family "Bacterial small subunit ribosomal RNA", at positions 100 to 334 of the family's 1533-position model. The record is from RNAcentral.
GAACGGGUGCGUAACACGUGACCAACCUGCCCUCGGUGUGGGGGAGUAGCCGGGCUAACGCCCCGGGGUAAUACCGCAUACGGUCACCGAGAGGAGUCUCUUGGUGAAGAAAGCUCCGGCGCACGGGAGGGGGUCGCGGCCUAUCAGCUAGUUGGUGCGGUAACGGCGCACCAAGGCGACGACGGGUAGCUGGUCUGAGAGGAUGGCCAGCCACAUUGGGACUGAGAGACGGCCCAG